AGCACUGGAGUGGAAGAUAAAUUAGAGCUUAUGGACUCAUGAACAGGAGGUUAAGCUGAAGGCAGAAAUAGAGUAAGGGCAAAGUUGGGAGGGAGUAAGGGGAUACGCUGUAAAUCAGGAAAGAACAGUGAAAAAGGAAGGACAACAAAGUUGAAGAAAAACAAGUAUUCUGGAGAUGUAAAGCACAGGCAAGGAAGGAAAACAAGACAAACUCUGCAUGCAUAAGGGAAGAGUUGUGAGAUGCAGAAGAAAAAUGAAGACUAGAAUUAACAUGAGUGUGGGAAAAUGUCUCAUCUUAGUUCACUGAUCUUGCAGAAAAAAAAAAAGAAAAUAAAUCCUCUGAAUUUCACCAUGCUUUCUGACUUUGGAAGCACUUAGUGCAUACUGCCUGUUCAGUCACAUGUCCAAGUGUCAUUAGGAGUAUCUGGUGUUUCUUUACACAGCUGUCGUGAUCACAGACCAAGCAACAGGUGUCCCUCCCUGGAAGAAAGGGUCAGAGCUCAUGGGAAAAGGGGAACAAGGAGAUUUUAUAAAGUGCGCUCAUGGAGCCCAGAUAACAGCUGAUGAACGGACGGCGUUGCAGGUACCCUUUUCUCUUUAUUGACCUGUGAAAGAGCUGGACACGUGGCUGAGAUGGAUGCCUAUGUUCCACAUCUCUUACAUGAUCAGAUGACACAAAACACGACUAAUUUUAUAUUGUAAUUUGAUUUGGAGAAAAUUUUUUAUAUUAUAAAUAUUUUGUGCUAAAUCCUAAUGGCAAAAAGAUCAAUUCCAGACACUUGUUAUGCUGUUAAAAAUAUGAAAGAAAUUUGUAUC
Parus major (Great Tit) is the source of this 816-nucleotide long non-coding RNA. RefSeq lists it as uncharacterized. The transcript is spliced from 4 exons. Lineage: Eukaryota; Metazoa; Chordata; Aves; Passeriformes; Paridae. The record is from RefSeq and is a predicted model, not a curated record.